AGAGUUUGAUCCUGGCUCAGGAUGAACGCUAGCGGCAGGCUUAAUACAUGCAAGUCGAGGGGUAACAUGGGUAGCAAUACCUGAUGACGACCGGCAAACGGGUGCGGAACACGUACGCGACCUUCCCAUAACUGGUGAAUAGCCUUUCGAAAGAGAGAUUAAUACACCGUAACAUAACGAAGAGGCAUCUCUUUGUUAUUAUAGGCUUCGGCCGGUUUUGGAUGGGCGUGCGCCUGAUUAGGUAGUUGGCGGGGUAACGGCCCACCAAGCCUACGAUCAGUAACUGGUGUGAGAGCACGACCAGUCACACGGGCACUGAGACACGGGCCCGACUCCUACGGGAGGCAGCAGUAAGGAAUAUUGGUCAAUGGACGAAAGUCUGAACCAGCCAUGCCGCGUGAAGGAUUAAGGCCCUCUGGGUUGUAAACUUCUUUUAUCUGGGACGAAAAAAGGGUAUUCUUACUCACUUGACGGUACCAGAGGAAUAAGCACCGGCUAACUCCGUGCCAGCAGCCGCGGUAAUACGGAGGGUGCAAGCGUUAUCCGGAUUCACUGGGUUCAAAGGGUGCGUAGGUGGGUUUGUAAGUCAGUGGUGAAAUCUCCGGGCUUAACUCGGAAACUGCCAUUGAUACUAUAGAUCUUGAAUUAUCUGGAGGUGAGCGGAAUAUGUCAUGUAGCGGUGAAAUGCUUAGAUAUGACAUAGAACACCAAUUGCGAAAGCAGCUCACUACGGAUAUAUUGACACUGAGGCACGAAAGCGUGGGGAUCAAACAGGAUUAGAUACCCUGGUAGUCCACGCC
RNAcentral lists this ribosomal RNA (800 nucleotides) under uncultured bacterium. Its description in RNAcentral is "bacterial SSU rRNA". It matches the Rfam family "Bacterial small subunit ribosomal RNA", at positions 8 to 801 of the family's 1533-position model. The record is from RNAcentral.